This 73-nucleotide transfer RNA is filed under the name Nocardia arthritidis. It matches the Rfam family "tRNA". Rfam says of the family: Transfer RNA (tRNA) molecules are approximately 80 nucleotides in length. Their secondary structure includes four short double-helical elements and three loops (D, anti-codon, and T loops). Lineage: Bacteria; Bacillati; Actinomycetota; Actinomycetes; Mycobacteriales; Nocardiaceae. The record is from Rfam by way of RNAcentral.
GGGUUUGUAGCUCAACUGGCAGAGCGGCCGACUUCUAAUCGGCGGGUUCCGGGUUCGAGUCCCGGCAGACCUA